GAUGAACGCUAGCUACAGGCUUAACACAUGCAAGUCGAGGGACCGGCGCACGGGUGAGUAACCCGUAUCCAACCUGCACUUUACUCGGUGAUAGCCUUUAGAAAGAAAGAUUACUACCCAAUGUAAAGGAUGGGGAUGGGUUCCAUUAGUGUGUGGGUGAGGUACCGGCUAACCAAGCCUUCGCUGGAUAUGGUUGCUGGGGGUAAGGUCCCCCACAUUGGAGCUAAGGUCCGGUCCAAACUGCGACGGGAGGCAGGGGUGUGGAAUAUUGUUCAAUGGACGUUAGCCUGAACCAGCCGAGUAGCGUGAAGGAGGAAGGCUUAUGGAUCGUAAACUUCUUUGAUAUAAGAAUAGGUAUUAUAUGAAUAAGGAUCGGCUAACUCCGUGCCAGCAGCCGCGGUAAUUC
Molecule: ribosomal RNA, 406 nt
Filed under: uncultured bacterium
Lineage: Bacteria
Description: partial 16S ribosomal RNA
Rfam family: Bacterial small subunit ribosomal RNA
Source: RNAcentral